CUCAGUAACGGCGAGUGAAGCGGCAACAGCUCAAAUUUGAAAUCUGGCCCUAGGCCCGAGUUGUAAUUUGCAGAGGAUGCUUUUGGUGCGGUGCCUUCCAAGUUCCCUAGAACGGGACGCCAGAGAGGGUGAGAGCCCCGUACAGUUGGACACCAAGCCUUUGUAAAGCUCCUUCGACGAGUCGAGUAGUUUGGGAAUGCUGCUCAAAAUGGGAGGUAUAUUUCUUCUAAAGCUAAAUACCGGCCAGAGACCGAUAGCGCACAAGUAGAGUGAUCGAAAGAUGAAAAGCACUUUGAAAAGAGGGUUAAACAGCACGUGAAAUUGUUAAAAGGGAAGCGCUUGUGACCAGACUUGCGUCCGGUGAAUCACCCAGCUCUCGCGGCUGGGGCACUUCGCCGGCUCAGGCCAGCAUCAGCUCGCUGUCGGGGACAAAAGCUUCAGGAACGUAGCUCUCUUCGGGGAGUGUUAUAGCCUGUUGCAUAAUACCCUUCGGCGGGCUGAGGUACGCGCUCCGCAAGGAUGCUGGCAUAAUGGUCAUCAGCGACCCGUCUUGAAACACGGACCAAGGAGUCAACCUUAUGUGCGAGUGUUCGGGUGUCAAACCCCUACGCGUAAUGAAAGUGAACGCAGGUGAGAGCUUCGGCGCAUCAUCGACCGAUCCUGAUGUUCUCGGAUGGAUUUGAGUAAGAGCAUAUAGGGUUGGACCCGAAAGAAGGUGAACUAUGCGUGUAUAGG
RNAcentral lists this ribosomal RNA (735 nucleotides) under Colletotrichum sp. RNAcentral's name for it is "partial large subunit ribosomal RNA". It matches the Rfam family "Eukaryotic large subunit ribosomal RNA", at positions 79 to 845 of the family's 3401-position model. Lineage: Eukaryota; Fungi; Ascomycota; Sordariomycetes; Glomerellales; Glomerellaceae. The record is from RNAcentral.